CAGAGCCCGAGUGCGAGCGGGGCUCUGAAGGUUCAGCAGUGUGGCAUUUAUUCCCCUGCUGUUCCCCACUCCUGACUGCUGCCAGCGCCGGAGUGGAGCAGAGCUAGCCUGGAGCUCCGCUGUGAGGAGCAGCGUCAACACAGGUUUAAUUCCAGCAAAUCCCAUUGGUGCUCAAAAUUGAUACAUUGAUACAGGUUUAAAUGUUACCGGGUCAGAGCCACAAGAGUUAAGGUUCAGCCCCUAGCAAUUAUUGUUUAACUUUUGUCAAUUGGGCUAGGAGCAAUCAUGCAAAAAAGUUUCAUGGGCCAAAUGGUACAAAUGUUUCUCCACAAAAUUUGCUAUAUUUGCAAAAUAAUGAUGCAUACUGUGGCAAUUGGUCUCAUAAAGUAAAUUCUAGCAGUACACCUCUACAAUUACCACCUGGUAUUUUUCUAAUUUGUGGAGAUCAUGCAUGGCAAGGACUGCCAGCAAACAUUUAUGGAGGGCCUUGUUAUUUUGGAAAAUUGACAUUGUUUGCACCCACUAUACAGCAACUAUUAGGAGUCAAUAGAACCAGGUUACGAACAAAGAGAAGUGUGUUUCAAUUGGGACCAGAAUGCAAAGAUCAGGUUGAACUUUGGGAACAUCCUACAGUGAUUGUGUCAUCUAUUUUUACACCUGGAGUAUCUAGUGCUCAAGCCUUAACACAGUUACGACGACUGGCAUGUUGGACAGGAAAACAGUUUAANCCAUGGAAAUAUCUCAGGUGGACUUUAACUGAGCAGUAUGUUGCCCCUCAGAAACUGUCAUUAAACAUGUCACUUCAUACUGUUCAUGAUGCUCAGCGAUUGCUAGGAGAUUUACAAUGGCUUAAACCUGUUAUGGGUAUUCCUAAUGAACGUUUACAAUCUUUACGACCCCUUUUAAAAGGUACCGAUCCUACAGCACCUAUACAGGUCACCAGUGAACAACAAGAAGCUCUCAAUAAAAUAAUGGACUGUAUCCAGACAGGAGUUGUUCGUAGGCGAGAUCCAGACUUGGACAUUAAUCUUACUGUAUGGUUUGGACCUCGACAUCUCAUCGGUGCCCUGACACAGCAACAAAAGAAAACAGGAGAGAUAUGGGUGUUAGAGUGGUUGUUACCACCACUACAACAGAGACAUACCUUAAUUCAAAAAAUUGAAAUUUUAGCAAAUUUGAUAAAACAAGGACGGAAGCAAUUGUGGCAAAUUAUGGGUGUAGAUCCAGCUGAAAUUCAGAUACCAAUAAAAAAGGACACUUUAGAUUGGUAUUUAAUUCACAGUUCCACACUGCAAGAAGCAUUGCUUGACAGUAGUAGUGUGGUCAGUACUGAGGAAGUGCCUCGAAUACCACUACGAUGGAUAGGGCCUGUCUGGGUGCCGAGCCGAUGGACUAAACCUGCUGAUCCCAGUGAUUUACCUUCAGCUGAUCCAGAAAAUUUAGCAGAUACUUCUCGCUCUCUACCAUCAACAUAGAGACGGGAUCUGAUGAACUCUCACAUGAAAAUCUUGUGUACAGUACCAAAUUUUGAAUGUUAUCCUUUUGUAUCUUACAUUUGUAAAGUGUGUAAAGAAAAGUGGUGGACACAUUCUAAGUGGGGCCGAUCCCCAAGAGGGAUUUGUACAGAGUGUUACAACUUUGAAAGAAAUUUGACUGAGAUUGCACGACAUGAAGGUGUGCAAACAGGACAAUUUAAAAAGGGAUCUGAUAGACGGUGGGAGAUUUUUGCUUUUGGAAUAAAUCCAGAAAAUUAUUGUUAUCA
Long non-coding RNA from Parus major (Great Tit), 1762 nucleotides. Lineage: Eukaryota; Metazoa; Chordata; Aves; Passeriformes; Paridae. The record is from Ensembl.